This 77-nucleotide transfer RNA is filed under the name Candidatus Kaiserbacteria bacterium. Its description in RNAcentral is "tRNA-Val". It matches the Rfam family "tRNA". From Rfam's summary of the family: Transfer RNA (tRNA) molecules are approximately 80 nucleotides in length. The record is from RNAcentral. Lineage: Bacteria; Candidatus Kaiseribacteriota.
GCGCUCUUAGCUCAGUUGGUUAGAGCGUUCGCUUCACACGCGAAAGGUCGGAGGUUCGAAUCCUCCAGAGCGCACAA